CACUGCGAGCAGGAAGGAGGGAGGAGCCGCAGUGACAGUUGGAAGCAAGAUGGCAGCAGAGAGGGAGCCCCCACCGCUUGGGGAAGGGAGACAGACUGAUUUUGAGGAGCUGGAAGACGGCGAGGACCUCUUCACCAGCACCGUGUCCACCAUGGAGUCAAGCCCAUCGUCUCCCGAGCCAGCUAGCCUUCCUGCAGAAGACAUCAGUACAAAUUCUAAUGGUCCUAAGCCUGCAGAUGUCAUUCUAAGUGAUGACCGUGAAGAUCUUUUUGCUGAAGCAACCGAUGAAGUCUCCUUGGAUAGUCCUGAAAGGGAACUUAUCCUUUCAUCAGAUCCUAGUCCAGCAAUCACUCCUGUGACUCCUACAUCUCUCAUCACUCCACGAAUGGAGGCUAUUAGUAUAUCUGCUCCAGUUAUUUAUGAUCGAUCAAGAGAUGAGAUCGAAGAAGAAGCAAAUGGAGACCUUUUUGAUAUUGAAAUAGGUGUUUCAGAUCCAGAAAAAGUUGGAGAUGGAAUGAAUGCAUACAUGGCAUACAAAGUGACAACCAAGACCUCCCUGACAAUGUUCAACAAGAAGGAAUUCUCCGUUAAAAGAAGAUUUAGUGAUUUUCUUGGUCUACAUAGUAAAUUAGCAUCGAAAUACAUGCAUAUUGGUUAUAUUGUGCCUCCAGCCCCAGAGAAAAGUAUUGUAGGUAUGACUAAAGUCAAAGUGGGGAAAGAAGAUUCGUCAUCAAAUGAAUUUGUAGAAAAAAGGAGGUCUGCGUUGGAAAGGUAUCUUCAACGGACAGUUAAACAUCCCACCCUGUUACAGGAUCCAGACGUGAGACAAUUCCUAGAAAGCAAUGAGCUGCCGAGGGCAGUUAGCACCCAGGCUUUGAGCGGAGCAGGAUUAUUGAGGAUGGUGAACAAGGCUGCGGACGCUGUCAACAAAAUGACAAUCAAGAUGAAUGAAUCGGAUGCCUGGUUUGAAGAAAAGCAGCAGCAAUUUGAGAAUCUAGACCUGCAACUUAAGAAGCUGCAUGCCAACGUGGAAGCCCUGGUGUGUCACCGGAAAGAGCUGUCGGUUAACACUGCUGCCUUUGCCAAGAGUGCAGCUAUGUUGGGCAAUUCUGAGGACCAUACUGCCUUGUCACGAGCUUUGUCACAGCUAGCAGAGGUGGAGGAAAAAAUUGACCAGCUGCACCAGGAACAGGCAUUUGCUGACUUUUAUCUGUUCUCAGAACUACUCAGUGACUACAUUAGACUGAUUGCAGCAGUAAAGGGCGUAUUCGAUCAGAGGAUGAAAUGCUGGCAAAAAUGGCAAGAUGCGCAGGUCAAUUUGCAGAAGAAACGUGAGGCUGAGGCCAAACUUCAAAUAUCUAACAAACCCGACAAAAUUCAGCAAGCUAAGGAUGAAAUCCGAGAGUGGGAAGCAAAAGUUCAACAAGGAGAAAGGGAUUUUGAGCAGAUUUCCAAAACCAUUCGCAAAGAAGUAGGAAGAUUCGAGGCAUAGAGAGUAAAGGACUUCAAAACUGUUAUUAUCAAAUACUUAGAAUCAUUAGUACAAACACAACAACAGCUUAUAAAGUACUGGGAAGCUUUUCUACCUGAAGCCAAAGCCAUUGUCUAGAAUGAAGAUUUCAUGUCCGGCUCAUCAAACGAUGGAUCACCUCAUUCCAAAACAAAAUCAUGUCUAAAACAAAUCAAAGAAAACACCAAGAUAAACCACUCUAUAUUUUAUUAACACGUGGCUUCUUUUUAUAUACUAUUGCGUUUUAAUAGCAGCGCUGCAUGUCCUGACGCAUUGCAAUGGACUGUGGCAUGAUGUUCUGCAAUAUUUUGCUGAAUUGAACACUAAUGUGUCUUAUUUUUUUGCAUUUAACAAGUGCAGAAAAAGGCAAGGAAGUUUUACGUUUGCGUUAUUUUUUUUUUCCUUGAAAAUGACUUCUGUCCAAUGAUAUAUACCUAUCUUAUGAAACAAAAUAUGGUUGCAUUUCUAAGUGUUCACUUAACACAUUCCUGUACAGAUAUGAUUUUGUGAUUAUUAUAAUAAAGGUAUAUUCCUUGUGA
RNA transcript from Spea bombifrons (plains spadefoot toad), 2049 nucleotides. It is a transcript of the gene named sorting nexin 2, with no coding region annotated. NCBI's taxonomy places the organism in Eukaryota, Metazoa, Chordata, Amphibia, Anura, Pelobatidae. The record is from RefSeq and is a predicted model, not a curated record. The transcript is spliced from 15 exons.